RNAcentral lists this ribosomal RNA (497 nucleotides) under uncultured bacterium. RNAcentral describes it as "partial 16S ribosomal RNA". It matches the Rfam family "Bacterial small subunit ribosomal RNA", at positions 28 to 507 of the family's 1533-position model. The record is from RNAcentral.
GAUGAACGCUGGCGGCGUGCCUAAUACAUGCAAGUCGAGCGAACGGACGAGAAGCUUGCUUCUCUGAUGUUAGCGGCGGACGGGUGAGUAACACGUGGAUAACCUACCUAUAAGACUGGGAUAACUUCGGGAAACCGGAGCUAAUUCCGGAUGAUAUUUUGAACCGCAUGGUUCAAAAGUGAAAGACGGUCUUGCUGUCACUUAUAGAUGGAUCCGCGCUGCAUUAGCUAGUUGGUAAGGUAACGGCUUACCAAGGCAACGAUGCAUAGCCGACCUGAGAGGGUGAUCGGCCACACUGGAACUGAGACACGGUCCAGACUCCUACGGGAGGCAGCAGUAGGGAAUCUUCCGCAAAGGGCGAAAGCCUGACGGAGCAACGCCGCGUGAGUGAUGAAGGUCUUCGGAUCGUAAAACUCUGUUAUUAGGGAAGAACAUAUGUGUAAGUAACUGUGCACAUCUUGACGGUACCUAAUCAGAAAGCCACGGCUAACUACGUG